Oryza sativa Japonica Group (Japanese rice) is the source of this 210-nucleotide microRNA precursor. It matches the Rfam family "MIR812 microRNA precursor family". NCBI's taxonomy places the organism in Eukaryota, Viridiplantae, Streptophyta, Magnoliopsida, Poales, Poaceae. The record is from Rfam.
AAAAAGAGUAAACCCUGGGUUUCCGUGCCAACGUUUGACUGUCCGUUUCGUUUUAUAUGAAAUUCUUUUAUAAUUAGUAUUUUAUUAUUGUUAGAUGAUAAAACAUGAUUAAUACUUUAUGCGUGACUUAUCUUUUUAAUUUUUUUCAUAAUUUUUUCAAAUAAGAUGAACAGUCAAACGUUGGACACGAAAACCAGGGUUUAUCUUUUU